RNAcentral lists this ribosomal RNA (1537 nucleotides) under Salmonella enterica subsp. enterica serovar Paratyphi A. Its description in RNAcentral is "bacterial LSU rRNA". It matches the Rfam family "Bacterial large subunit ribosomal RNA", at positions 1466 to 2925 of the family's 2925-position model. Lineage: Bacteria; Pseudomonadati; Pseudomonadota; Gammaproteobacteria; Enterobacterales; Enterobacteriaceae. The record is from RNAcentral.
GGGGGGACGGAGAAGGCUAUGUUGGCCGGGCGACGGUUGUCCCGGUUUAAGCGUGUAGGUGUGUGUUCCAGGUAAAUCCGGUUCACUUUAACACUGAGGCGUGACGACGAGGCACUACGGUGCUGAAGCAACAAAUGCCCUGCUUCCAGGAAAAGCCUCUAAGCAUCAGGUAACAUCAAAUCGUACCCCAAACCGACACAGGUGGUCAGGUAGAGAAUACCAAGGCGCUUGAGAGAACUCGGGUGAAGGAACUAGGCAAAAUGGUGCCGUAACUUCGGGAGAAGGCACGCUGACACGUAGGUGAAGUGAUUUACUCAUGGAGCUGAAGUCAGUCGAAGAUACCAGCUGGCUGCAACUGUUUAUUAAAAACACAGCACUGUGCAAACACGAAAGUGGACGUAUACGGUGUGACGCCUGCCCGGUGCCGGAAGGUUAAUUGAUGGGGUCAGCGCAAGCGAAGCUCCUGAUCGAAGCCCCGGUAAACGGCGGCCGUAACUAUAACGGUCCUAAGGUAGCGAAAUUCCUUGUCGGGUAAGUUCCGACCUGCACGAAUGGCGUAAUGAUGGCCAGGCUGUCUCCACCCGAGACUCAGUGAAAUUGAACUCGCUGUGAAGAUGCAGUGUACCCGCGGCAAGACGGAAAGACCCCGUGAACCUUUACUAUAGCUUGACACUGAACAUUGAGCCUUGAUGUGUAGGAUAGGUGGGAGGCUUUGAAGUGUGGACGCCAGUCUGCAUGGAGCCGACCUUGAAAUACCACCCUUUAAUGUUUGAUGUUCUAACGUGGACCCGUUACCCGGGUUGCGGACAGUGUCUGGUGGGUAGUUUGACUGGGGCGGUCUCCUCCUAAAGAGUAACGGAGGAGCACGAAGGUUGGCUAAUCCUGGUCGGACAUCAGGAGGUUAGUGCAAUGGCAUAAGCCAGCUUGACUGCGAGCGUGACGGCGCGAGCAGGUGCGAAAGCAGGUCAUAGUGAUCCGGUGGUUCUGAAUGGAAGGGCCAUCGCUCAACGGAUAAAAGGUACUCCGGGGAUAACAGGCUGAUACCGCCCAAGAGUUCAUAUCGACGGCGGUGUUUGGCACCUCGAUGUCGGCUCAUCACAUCCUGGGGCUGAAGUAGGUCCCAAGGGUAUGGCUGUUCGCCAUUUAAAGUGGUACGCGAGCUGGGUUUAGAACGUCGUGAGACAGUUCGGUCCCUAUCUGCCGUGGGCGCUGGAGAACUGAGGGGGGCUGCUCCUAGUACGAGAGGACCGGAGUGGACGCAUCACUGGUGUUCGGGUUGUCAUGCCAAUGGCACUGCCCGGUAGCUAAAUGCGGAAGAGAUAAGUGCUGAAAGCAUCUAAGCACGAAACUUGCCCCGAGAUGAGUUCUCCCUGAGACUUAGAGUCUCCUGAAGGAACGUUGAAGACGACGACGUUGAUAGGCCGGGUGUGUAAGCGCAGCGAUGCGUUGAGCUAACCGGUACUAAUGAACCGUGAGGCUUAACCUUACAACGCCGAAGAUGUUUUGGCGGAUGAGAAGACGAUUUUCAGCACUGAUU